AUUGAACGCUGGCGGCAGGCCUAACACAUGCAAGUCGAACGAGCGGCGGACGGGUGAGUAAUGUCUGGGAAACUGCCUGAUGGAGGGGGAUAACUACUGGAAACGGUAGCUAAUACCGCAUACCAUCAGAUGUGCCUAGAUGGGAUUAGCUAGUAGGUGGGGUAACGGUUCACCUAGGCGACGAUCCCUAGCUGGUCUGAGAGGAUGACCAGCCACGCUGGAACUGAGACACGGUCAAGACUCCUACGGGAGGCAGCAGUGAGGAAUAGUGGGCAAUGGGCGCAAGCCUGAUGCAGCCAGGCCGCGUGAGUGAUGAAGGCCUUCGGGUUGUAAGGCACUGUCAGCGGGGAGGCGUUACCCGCAGAAGAAGCAGCGGCUAACACCGUGCCAGCGGCCGCGGUGAUUC
Molecule: ribosomal RNA, 406 nt
Filed under: uncultured bacterium
Lineage: Bacteria
Description: partial 16S ribosomal RNA
Rfam family: Bacterial small subunit ribosomal RNA
Source: RNAcentral